AGAGCCUCCCCAGCCCCCAGUGAGCAAGUGCAGCAGGGGCUCCGCCCUCCAGCCGAGCCCUCCUGAAGCUCCUGUGGGCUCCCUGGGCUUGGGGGUGUCCCUCUGCUCCAGGAAAACUUGUGAGGAAGGACCAUGAGUAGCUGCCCUUUCUCUGGCCCUGGGCCACGUGGGUCAUAAUGCCCCUCUGUUAGCAGAAAGUUUUCUCAUGAGGUUUUGGUUUAACAGCACGGCUGGUAUUUUUCCUGCACCGAGUCCGGCAGAGUUAGCAAACCUCCACGCUGACUCUACAAGCACCCUAGCUAGUAGUUGACUUGGAUCUCAGAGCCUCUUCAAUGGUGAAAAUUUACUUGGCUAUGAAAACUCAGAGGAGUAGAGAACAAGAAUAAUGGAGGUGAUGGGAGAAGGAUCCCAACAUCAAGAGUGUGGAAGCCACUUGCCUCAUUUGGCAGCAUUGAAAUGGGGCUGGGCUAUGAGGACCCAUCAAAGUCCCUGAAGAUGAGCCUGUGUCCUCCCAGGGCCCUUGCACAGGUCGCAGCUCGCCUACUCAACUGCAGAGAUCCCAGGCCCUGUCCUGAGAUACAGACCCUGAUAGGAUUUGGUUCUGCAUCGCCACCUGAAUCUCACCUCUAAUUGUCAUCCCCAGUGUUGGAGGUGGGGCCUGGUGGGAGGUGAUUGGAUCCUGGGGGCGGAUAUCCCCUCAUGAUAGUACGUGGGCUAUCCUGAGACCUAGUUUAAAAGCAUGUAGCACCUUCCCCACCCUCUAUGCCUCCUGCUCCCCCUGCCAUGUAAGACAUGCCUACUUCCCCUUUUGCCCUCCGCCAUGAUUGUAAGUUUCCUGAGGCUUCCCCAGCCAGGCUUCCUGUACAACCUGUGGAAUCUUGUGCCAAUUAAACCUCUUUUCCCUAUAGGUUACCUGGUCUCAGGUAUUUCUUUCUAGCAGUGCAAGAAAGGACUAAUACAGAUCCCAACUCAGCCAACAACCUGGAGCGCUUCCCUACUGACUUCCUGCCCUGUCAGUUUGCAGUUGGAGACAGCAAUCAUCACCAGACAGAGUGACUGUGUGCGUGAACAAUGAGCUGAUCUAAU
This is a long non-coding RNA of Piliocolobus tephrosceles (Ugandan red Colobus), 1086 nucleotides long. RefSeq lists it as uncharacterized. The transcript is spliced from 3 exons. NCBI's taxonomy places the organism in Eukaryota, Metazoa, Chordata, Mammalia, Primates, Cercopithecidae. The record is from RefSeq and is a predicted model, not a curated record.